UCAUCCUGGCUCCCUUAGGAAGGUGACACUCACUUGUGCUUUCUCUACCUAAUGGCUGGCAUGAGGAGAUGCCCUCAGAAGAUCUGGGUCGAGUCUCCAUCUCAUCCACGUGAUUGCACUUGAUGAUGGCUUAUCAUAAAGGGACUGCCUUAAGACAAUGAGUCUUACAGCUACUAAGGAUUUUCGAUUACAUCAGGGUCACAUGAAAUAAAGGAUAAACCUGGAAGAAAUCUCCAUCUCCAGUGGUGGACUCUUGCUGCUUAACACAUGGACCUCACAUCUGAGCCGGGAGGCAUAGAAGAAUGAACCUGCUUAAUUGAUCGUAAACCACAGCCCACACAGCGUCCUAGUGUAUUAGGAACAUUAUCAGCCUAAUACACAUGGCUGUCUUCACCCCUUCUGCUGAUGUCUUAACUAUGAGGAAUUUAAACCCCAGCUUUCAAUUACAAAUUGAGAGAGGAAGCCAGGGGCAGGGGAAGUGAGUAGAAGCCCAUCUCCCGAGAAGCUGGAAGCAUGAUCUGGUAAAUGACAGCCAGCCGGACGGGCCUCCAUUAAGCUAAUGAGAUGCUUGGAGUUAGAGAUGUGAACUGAGUUUCUAAAUGGCCUAAGUCCCGGGCAUUGGAGAAGACACCAGAUCAUUGUAAUGUUUCCUGUGGGGACUAGUGAUUUUAAAUAGACUCAUGAAGGCCACUGAUUCAAUUGACAAUAUAAUGAAAAGGAGAAAAAAAAAGUCAACUUAUAUUCGAAGGUACUUAGGGCUUCCACAAACAGAAAAAAGCCAUGGGUUUCUUCAGCUCCAAGUUCUGCUAGAAUUUAUCAGUUCCAGCUGGUAACAUGCUCAGAGAAAGGAAGGGGUAUGUUUCACUGUAGAGGGGGCAGAGCAAAGGGCAGGACCACUAUGGGGAAAGCACUUUGUCUUAAAAAAAAAUGUUAGUUCUUUGAGAAUUUCAUGCAGUGUGAUUUGAUCAUAUUCAUCCCAUCAUCCCC
Molecule: long non-coding RNA, 987 nt
Organism: Peromyscus eremicus (cactus mouse)
Lineage: Eukaryota; Metazoa; Chordata; Mammalia; Rodentia; Cricetidae
Exons: 3
Source: RefSeq, a predicted model, not a curated record